AUGAGUUACUUAAUAUGGAACUACCGGGGGGCGGGGAACCGUCGGGCAGUUCGAGAUGUUGGGGCUCUUGCAAAAGCCCAUUCCCCGAGGUUCGUCUUCAUGUCUGAAACAAGGCAAUUGUCUGCCAAAGCUCAAACGAUAAAAUGGAAGCUGGGCCUAAGAGGUUUCUAUGGUGUUGAUUGUGAAUGUCGUGGAGGGGGAUUGGCUCUAUUUUGGGGACGAUUCCCUCUAGGUGCCAGUACUUGA
Molecule: ribosomal RNA, 246 nt
Filed under: Triticum aestivum (bread wheat)
Lineage: Eukaryota; Viridiplantae; Streptophyta; Magnoliopsida; Poales; Poaceae
Description: partial small subunit ribosomal RNA
Source: RNAcentral